GGAUUAGCGGCGACGGGUGAGUAACACGUGAGUAACCUGCCUUAGACAUUGGGAUAGCCUCGGGAAACCGGGAUUAAUACCAAAUAAAAUCAUAAUGACACAUGUCAUAACGAUCAAAACUCCGGUGGUCUAAGAUGGACUCGCGUCCCAUUAGCUAGUUGGUAGAGUAAAAGCCUACCAAGGCGACGAUGGGUAGCCGGCCUGAGAGGGUGAACGGCCACAUUGGAACUGAGAAACGGUCCAA
Molecule: ribosomal RNA, 244 nt
Filed under: uncultured Eubacteriales bacterium
Lineage: Bacteria; Bacillati; Bacillota; Clostridia; Eubacteriales
Description: uncultured Clostridiales bacterium partial 16S ribosomal RNA
Rfam family: Bacterial small subunit ribosomal RNA
Source: RNAcentral